GACGAACGCUGGCGGCGUGCUUAACACAUGCAAGUCGAGCGGUAAGGCCCUUUCGGGGGUACACGAGCGGCGAACGGGUGAGUAACACGUGGGUGACCUGCCCUCAGCUCUGGGAUAAGCCUGGGAAACUGGGUCUAAUACUGGAUAUGACUCCACGGUGCAUGUCGUGGGGUGGAAAGCCUUGUGCGGCUGAGGAUGGGCCCGCGGCCUAUCAGCUUGUUGGUGGGGNGAUGGCCUACCAAGGCGACGACGGGUAGCCGGCCUGAGAGGGCGACCGGGCCACACUGGGACUGAGACACGGCCCAGACUCCUACGGGAGGCAGCAGUGGGGAAUCUUGCGCAAUGGGCGAAAGCCUGACGCAGCGACGCCGCGUGAGGGAUGACGGCCUGGU
RNAcentral lists this ribosomal RNA (392 nucleotides) under uncultured bacterium. Its description in RNAcentral is "bacterial SSU rRNA". It matches the Rfam family "Bacterial small subunit ribosomal RNA", at positions 28 to 420 of the family's 1533-position model. The record is from RNAcentral.